Non-coding RNA from Cladorrhinum sp. PSN259, 106 nucleotides. The record is from the annotation of a GenBank genome assembly. Lineage: Eukaryota; Fungi; Ascomycota; Sordariomycetes; Sordariales; Podosporaceae.
GCGGGUUUAGCUCAGUUGGGAGAGCGUCAGACUGAAGUUUCCACUUCAUUCAAAAAGCCUGAAAAGGGUGAUCUGAAGGUCGUGUGUUCGAUCCACACAAACCGCA